UACGUAGGGGGCGAGCGUUUGUCCGGAAUCAUUGGGCGUAAAGCGCGUGUAGGCGGCCCGGUAAGUCCGCUGUGAAAGUCCAGGGCUCAACCCUGGGAUGCCGGUGGAUACUGUCGGGCUCGAGUCCGGAAGAGGCGAGUGGAAUUCCUGGUGUAGCGGUGAAAUGCGCAGAUAUCAGGAGGAACACCAAUGGCGAAGGCAGCUCGCUGGGACGUGACUGACGCUGAGACGCGAAAGCGUGGGGAGCAAACAGG
This 254-nucleotide ribosomal RNA is filed under the name uncultured bacterium. RNAcentral's name for it is "partial 16S ribosomal RNA". It matches the Rfam family "Bacterial small subunit ribosomal RNA", at positions 524 to 776 of the family's 1533-position model. The record is from RNAcentral.